Long non-coding RNA from Daktulosphaira vitifoliae (grape phylloxera), 1854 nucleotides. RefSeq lists it as uncharacterized. The transcript is spliced from 3 exons. The record is from RefSeq and is a predicted model, not a curated record. Lineage: Eukaryota; Metazoa; Arthropoda; Insecta; Hemiptera; Phylloxeridae.
UUUAAAUAUUAACUGACAUUAUAAUUAUUGUAUGUGAUUUGUAUGAAAAGAAGUUUUGUGAAAGUUUAUUAUUUCAUUCAUUUUUUUAUCAACAAUUAGUUAGUUUUAUCUAUAAUAUGAAGCUAUAACUUCUGCCUUUGAUAAUUCCUUCCUUUGAAUGAACAUCUACUUGAACAAAACUUCACUAAAAAUAGCAUACCAGUUGGGUAGUGAAACACUUUAAAAGAAAGCGCUAAAAUAUAACACAAAAUAAGAUACUUGUGAUCACACGAACGAGCAAAAUACAAGUGUCAUAACCUAAACAAUUAACAUAAAUUGUAUGUUAAAUAUAUUGAAAAAAAAUCAUAAAAUAUUAUAAAAUUUUCUGGUAGUUUUAGAAAAACGCUAUGCAAUAAUUGCAAACACCUAAAUUUAUCAAUAGAUACUUUCACAACCUCAGUUCAUACGAUGGUCAUUUUUUAAUUAAAGCAACAGAAGAAAAAUAUAUUUCUUUUACAAAGUUUGUCUCAAACAAAUUUAUGGUUCGAUUUAUUGACACAUUCCGUUUUAUGAGGACUAGUUUGGCGGCUCUUGCUGAAAAUUUACAUACCACAGACAUAAAUUUAUUUAAAAAAACAGUUAAGGCAUUUUCAACUGACAAUCUCGUCCUAGUGAUGUGAAAAGGUGUGUAUCCUUAUUCAUAUACAUUCUGAUGGGAGGAGUUAAGUGAACAAAAAUUUCUAUCAAAAGCCGAGUUUUAUGAUGAUUUAAUUGAAACUCAUAUAGACAAUGCUGAAUAUGAACACGUUUAGCGACAUUUCAAGUGUCAAACGCUCAGUUUGCACUAUGAUCUGUAUCUGAAAACUGAUGCGUUUAUACUAGCUAAUAAUUUUACUAAUUUUGACGGUUAUGUCUAAACAAACAUUAAUUGGAACCUGCAUACUAUUUUAAAAAUUCUUUCUUUCGAUGCUAUGGUGCUGCAUACAGGGGUGUUGCUAGAUCUCAUGAGUAAUUAUAAAUAACAGCUUUUUAUUGAGAGAAAUAUGAAGAGUGAUGACGACUUCAGUUCUUAAGCAUGCUGUUUCAAACAGAAUAGUCCUCAAUAUGAUGCAAGUCAAUCUAAAUCGGAAAUAAUAUAUUUAGAUGUCAACAACUUGUAUGGCUGAAGACUUUUAGUGGUUAUAUGUGAACGAUGAAGCGAAAAUUUUAAAUACAGUAGAAUUGUUACCUGUGAAUCUUCCUAUAGGGCUUGAAGUAACGCUGUUGUACCUGAAAAAAAUUCACAAUGCCCAAAGAGAAAUUUAAACUAAAACAUUCACCAAAUUCAUUAGUCAAAAAAUGACUGUUUACUUUUGACCAUAAUGAAAACUAUGUUGUACAUUACCUCAAUUUAAAACAAGCUAUGGCAAACGGUUUAAAAUUAGAAAAGGUACAUUAGAUGUUACAAUUUAAACAGUGUGGUUGGCAAAUUAUAUUCAAUUGAAUACAAAGAUGAGACAGAAAGUUAAAAAUGAUUUAAGAAAGAUUAUUUCAACUUAAUGAAUAGUACGGUUUUUAGUAUAUAAACAUGUAAAAUACGUAAACAUAAUUUCAAUAUGAUCAUAUUGCACAUCGCUAAAUUAAGUAAAGUAAACUAAAGUAAAGUAAUUUACAGAGAAAUUAGAAUAGGUACUAUACAUACACUUUUACUGGUUAACAAAAAUAUCUAACCAAUCUAGAGUAAAAUUUGAAAAUUAUUUUUGAUAUGCUUAAUAUUAAGACAUUAAGAUGUUCCAUUUUAAUCAUUUCCAUUGUUUUUCUAUACAGUGACAAUAAUGUACAAAUAUUUUGGAAAUAAUAGGAUUUGAAAAUUUAAAUAACCCUAAUUUGAACAAA